UACAGAGGGGGCAAGCGUUGUUCGGAAUUACUGGGCGUAAAGGGCACGUAGGCGGAUUGUUAAGUCGGGGGUGAAAUCCUGGAGCUCAACUCCAGAACUGCCUUCGAUACUGGCGAUCUCGAGUUCGGGAGAGGUGAGUGGAACUGCGAGUGUAGAGGUGAAAUUCGUAGAUAUUCGCAAGAACACCAGUGGCGAAGGCGGCUCACUGGCCCGAUACUGACGCUGAGGUGCGAAAGCGUGGGGAGCAAACAGG
Molecule: ribosomal RNA, 253 nt
Filed under: uncultured bacterium
Lineage: Bacteria
Description: partial 16S ribosomal RNA
Rfam family: Bacterial small subunit ribosomal RNA
Source: RNAcentral